RNAcentral lists this transfer RNA (69 nucleotides) under Ictidomys tridecemlineatus (thirteen-lined ground squirrel). Its description in RNAcentral is "Spermophilus tridecemlineatus (thirteen-lined ground squirrel) tRNA". It matches the Rfam family "tRNA". Rfam says of the family: Transfer RNA (tRNA) molecules are approximately 80 nucleotides in length. Their secondary structure includes four short double-helical elements and three loops (D, anti-codon, and T loops). Further hydrogen bonds mediate the characteristic L-shaped molecular structure. tRNAs have two regions of fundamental functional importance: the anti-codon, which is responsible for specific mRNA codon recognition, and the 3' end, to which the tRNAs corresponding amino acid is attached (by aminoacyl-tRNA synthetases). tRNAs cope with the degeneracy of the genetic code in two manners: having more than one tRNA (with a specific anti-codon) for a particular amino acid; and 'wobble' base-pairing, i.e. permitting non-standard base-pairing at the 3rd anti-codon position. The record is from Rfam by way of RNAcentral. Lineage: Eukaryota; Metazoa; Chordata; Mammalia; Rodentia; Sciuridae.
GGGGCUGUAGCUCAGUGGUAGAGUGCCUGCCUUUCACGUGCAAGGUACUGGGUUCAAUCCUCAGCACCA